Molecule: ribosomal RNA, 399 nt
Filed under: Triticum aestivum (bread wheat)
Lineage: Eukaryota; Viridiplantae; Streptophyta; Magnoliopsida; Poales; Poaceae
Description: partial small subunit ribosomal RNA
Source: RNAcentral
CAUCCAAUUUGGGAUAAAAUCUGGGGUCUCAAAGUGGCCCCUAAGGUAAAAAUCUUUCUUUGGAGAGUUAUGCAUAAUACUAUUCCUUGUCGGGUUGCUUUGGCGAAUUGUCAUAUUAAAGUGAGUGGGCAAUGCCCAGUCUGUGGGAUUGGAGCGGAAGACAUUAAGCAUCUCCUGUUCAAGUGUAGCCGAGAAAAGCACGUAUGGCAAACGGGUAUUGAUGACUUAAUUGAGAAAUUUUGUCUUGUUCAUCGUCCAGGACAGUCUGUUCUAGAGGAAUUGGUGUACUCAAGUCCUGAUCAGUCUAUGUUUUUGGGACAAGCCCCAAUGGCAGAGCUUGUUGCAGUGGCAUGUUGGUAUUUAUGGUGGGAAAUAAGGCAAAUUAGUCGUAAUAUUUAG